GUUGCGCUUUAUUCCUCCCUUUUUGCAGUGACGUAACUUUAGCGGGUCUGAGUUCUCUGGGUUGACCGGCCUAAAGCAAGGGUUCAUAUUCAUUGAUUCAACUGUGCCUUUGUUCAUAUGAAGGUUGAUUUAUACAUACCGAUUUGACCCUGAUUUUUUGACCUUCAUGGGAAAUUUUGCGAAGCUCAGACCUCGAGGGACGCAUGAAGUGGUCGGUUCUUUCUAUGGGAAGUAUCAGUCUUGCAAUGGUGCCAACAAAUUUCAUUGAAGUUCAUUUUUGAGAACCUUGAGUAAAUAAGGUGAUCAGACCAUCCACCAGCGUGGGAAAACAUCCAGCAUCAAGGAGCUAGCCCUGCACCCAGGUGCAACAGAUCCACCAUCAGCUGGAGGUGAGCCCAGACCUGGA
Molecule: long non-coding RNA, 406 nt
Organism: Lolium rigidum
Lineage: Eukaryota; Viridiplantae; Streptophyta; Magnoliopsida; Poales; Poaceae
Exons: 2
Source: RefSeq, a predicted model, not a curated record